UUUACUAAUCAUUGAUAUUAUGUUGAUAGUCCUAAAUAUAAAGUUUUAUUACCAUGAUUACAACUGUCACAUAAACUUAACAUUAAUCAAGAAAACUAAACAUUGAGCAAUGAACCAUAUGAAAAUGAGGUCAAGGUAAGAUGAAUGAUGCCAGACAGACAUGCACAGCUAACAAUUCUUCUAUACAACAAAUAUAGUUGACCCUUUUCUUGUAGUUUAAAAA
This 223-nucleotide long non-coding RNA is filed under the name Mytilus galloprovincialis (Mediterranean mussel). Lineage: Eukaryota; Metazoa; Mollusca; Bivalvia; Mytilida; Mytilidae. The record is from RNAcentral.